AUUGAACGCUGGCGGCAGGCCUAACACAUGCAAGUCGAACGGCAGCACAGAAGAGCUUGCUCUUUGGGUGGCGAGUGGCGGACGGGUGAGUAAUGUCUGGGAAACUGCCCGAUGGAGGGGGAUAACUACUGGAAACGGUAGCUAAUGCCGCAUAACGUCGCGAGACCAAAGUGGGGGACCUUCGGGCCUCACACCAUCGGAUGUGCCCAGAUGGGAUUAGCUAGUAGGUGGGGUAAUGGCUCACCUAGGCGACGAUCCCUAGCUGGUCUGAGAGGAUGACCAGCCACACUGGAACUGAGACACGGUCCAGACUCCUACGGGAGGCAGCAGUGGGGAAUAUUGCACAAUGGGCGCAAGCCUGAUGCAGCCAUGCCGCGUGUAUGAAGAAGGCCUUCGGGUUGUAAAGUACUUUCAGCGGGGAGGAAGGCGGUGAGGUUAAUAACCUCGCCGAUUGACGUUACCCGCGGAAGAAGCACCGGCUAACUCCGUGCCAGCAGCCGCCGUAA
This 506-nucleotide ribosomal RNA is filed under the name uncultured bacterium. RNAcentral describes it as "partial 16S ribosomal RNA". It matches the Rfam family "Bacterial small subunit ribosomal RNA", at positions 29 to 523 of the family's 1533-position model. The record is from RNAcentral.